ACUUGAAUAGUUUAUUGAAAACAGUAAUUUGUGGUGUUACUAAUGCAGGUAACUGCUUCAAGUC
RNAcentral lists this transfer RNA (64 nucleotides) under Margarinotus merdarius. Its description in RNAcentral is "tRNA-His". Lineage: Eukaryota; Metazoa; Arthropoda; Insecta; Coleoptera; Histeridae. The record is from RNAcentral.